This 495-nucleotide ribosomal RNA is filed under the name uncultured soil bacterium. RNAcentral's name for it is "bacterial SSU rRNA". It matches the Rfam family "Bacterial small subunit ribosomal RNA", at positions 26 to 517 of the family's 1533-position model. The record is from RNAcentral.
AGAACGAACGCUGGCGGCGCGCCUAAUACAUGCAAGUCGAGCGAGAAGACGUAGCAAUACGUUUGUAAAGCGGCGAACGGGUGAGGAAUACAUGGGUAACCUACCCUAGAGUGGGGAAUAACUAGCCGAAAGGUUAGCUAAUACCGCGUACGCUCCUUGGACUUCGGUACAGGGAGGAAAGCGAUACCGUGGGUAUCGCGCUCUUGGAUGGGCUCAUGUCCUAUCAGCUUGUUGGUGAGGUAACGGCUCACCAAGGCUUCGACGGGUAGCUGGUCUGAGAGGACGAUCAGCCACACUGGCACUGCGACACGGGCCAGACUCCUACGGGAGGCAGCAGUAAGGAAUAUUGCGCAAUGGGCGAAAGCCUGACGCAGCGACGCCGCGUGGGGGAUGAAGGUCUUCGGAUUGUAAACCCCUUUCGGAGGAAGAUGGAACGAGCAAUCGUUCGGACGGUACCUCCAGAAGCAGCCACGGCUAACUUCGUGCCAGCAGCCG